UACCAUCCCUAGCUGCAGUUAGUUGAGGUCAUGUGACUGAAUUCCAACUAAUAUAGGUAGAAAUAAAGUACUCCACUCCCAAAUACAGUUUAUAAAAAUCUCUGACAUAAUCCUCCACACUCUUUUACUUUCUCUGACAGGUGAACGGCAUGGAUUCUGAGAACCAGGAAGAGAGCCAAGUCAUAAAAGGAUCGGUGCCCGAGUGAGUCCUUGAAUGGUUCAUGGAACAGAACUUCUCAGUCUUCACUCCCCUUUACCCAUACUGAAGUUUACAUGAUUAAUAUAAUGUAAUAUAUAACUAAGCCACUGAGAUUUGCGAGUUUCUUUGAUUGCAGCUGGUGUUUAAUUUCUGAGUAACUAAGAAGGAAUACAUUUUUGAGGACAUGGUAUUUGGUCUGCAACCACCCAUGGUUUUAGAGAAGAAGCAACCCAUGUAGGUAUGUGGGCACCAAUUAUUCCAGUUAGACAAACAACACACCCAAAGCCCAAAGUCUGGGAGAAUGUGUUUAAGAAACAACACACAACGACGACAAAAAAUAAUAUAGCUGGUUUCUAGUGAAUGGAGAGGAGAGUGGUAGGAAAUGAAGUUUAAGAGGAGUGUGGAGACCAGAUCCCACAGGACUGUGUAAACAGUGAAAAGGAGUUCACAUUUCAUUAUAAUUGUGAUGAAACCUCAUUGGAAAAUUUUAAGCAGAGAAAAUCCAUGAUCUUACUAUGAUACACAGGUCUUUAAAAGAUUGAGUUACUCUUUGUUGAAUGAAUUUUAAGAAUCCAGAGAGGAUGACAAGGGACCAGUUAGGAGAUAAUAAUCUUCCAGGCAAGACAUGUUAGUGACUUAAACAAGAUUUAUUACAAUGGAAAGAGGAAAAAUUGAUAUAUCCCACUGAAUCAUUCAAUUAAUCAGGUCUAAAAAAUAUGGAUUAUACAUUUAUGUAAUAAUUAUAUUAAGAUCUGUUGUGAGUCACUUAGGAUAAUGGCAAAAAUAUUAAAGGGAAUAUUAGGGAAAGUUAUAGGAAAUAAUCACAAAUCUUUUGAAAGGCCAAAAGCUUAAAUAGCUUGUAAUAAUUGAACAGGCUAAAGGCAGCCGGUUCUUACCUUAGAGCACUAGGUCAUAGGGUAAAUACUAGGAACAAUAGAGGAUUCCCCAGUUACUUCUGUUUACCCUACCUCCAUUAACUAAUCUUUAAGCCAAAUGGCCCUCUGGGUGGUUGUGGGUGGGGGUAGGGGCGGGGAGGUCAACUAGGGAAAUUGCCCCCUAAUGGUAUUUACUUUAAACCGUAGUACCUAAGUUUUAAUCAUUUGUAAAACUACUUUCUUAACCAUGUUAAUUAUCCUCAAGUGUGUUUACUCAAAGCUUCUGUUGUUCAUUGUAUACUAAAUAAAUGCCUGAAGUGCAAGCUGCUCAGGACCAGCCGCAGUGACAAACCUCUCCUGGUGUGCAGGCAGUCGGACGCUCAGCUGGACUGGCGAAACAAAGUAUCUGUAUGUCAAUGUCCUUUAUCAGAUAUGUGACGUGCAAAUAUAUCCUCCAAGGUUGAAGCUUGUUUCUUCAUUCCCUCAAGAGUUAAUUUCACAGAGGGAAACAUAAUUUUAAUAAAGUCCAAUUUAUCAA
Molecule: long non-coding RNA, 1612 nt
Organism: Homo sapiens (human)
Lineage: Eukaryota; Metazoa; Chordata; Mammalia; Primates; Hominidae
Exons: 2
Source: RefSeq, a predicted model, not a curated record